Molecule: long non-coding RNA, 1565 nt
Organism: Dermochelys coriacea (leatherback sea turtle)
Lineage: Eukaryota; Metazoa; Chordata; Testudines; Dermochelyidae
Exons: 3
Source: RefSeq, a predicted model, not a curated record
UCACUUGAAAUCAUAGAACUUAUAAAUCUUGGACCCUCUCUCUGUAGAAGGCAAGAACAUUUGUGAAGAUCCACAGCAGAAGAGCCUCAGACCUUGUAGGACAGAUCACAAGCCCUCUCCCACCUUCAUCACAUCUACUGGUUCCCUGCUUUCACCUGAGCUUCCCGCUCCGUUGGGAUUUUAAAGGCAUAUUGGGUGAAUCAGAGCUGACUCAAGGAUCAUUAAUUUACACUGCUUUUCCCAAUGUAAUAUCCACAGGUUUGAAGAAAGAAUCAUAAUAAUUGUGACCUGGCUCUCCCACUUCUCAUUUGACCACAGUCCAAUUUUUGCUGUGAUUCAUGAAAGUUACGACAGGGAAACCAAAAUAAUCUAAACUCCGAUUAUUCCCUGAAAAGUUCAUCCCCAAAUUCCUAAAGAAAACACAUUUUGUUCAUGCAAAUUUCAGAUUAUGCAAAGGGUCCAGGUGUCCCUCAAGAAAUCUGGAUCAUCAGGCAUAUUUUUGCAACAACAAGUAGGGGACUAUGGGCGCCUCAGUGUUUGGGAACCCAGCUGGAGACACCUUGAGGGGCCCUGACUGUCAGAAGGUCAAUGCUCAGCACUUUUUGAAAGUAGAGCCCCUUUAAGGCAUCUGAAGCUGGGCGCACAAAAAUGGAAGUGCCCAAAAUCACUAGUCGCUCUUGAAAUUUAAGGCUGUAUUUAUUAAAAGUAACUGCUGAGCACCAACACUAUGAUCAGCAUUAUAUAGACCUGGUCCUUGCCCCAAGAAGUUUAUCGUCUAAGAGACAAACAAAGACAACAGAUCAGACACAUUCAUUAUAUAGAGCAGAUUUUUCUCAAACUGUGGGCAGUGUCUGCGAGGGCCCAGAACUCUUCGUCCUUUGUAUUUACCACCUGGAAAAGAAGAAAGUGCCAAUGGCUACUUAGGAUUUUGGACCCCCUGUGCACCUGUCCUGGCUCCACUUGCAGUCUCUCCUUGACACCCAGCCAGGGUGCAGGGAGUGAGCAGGGAUUCCACUGCAGGGACUCUGCCUGGACAUUGGAGGCAUCGCUGUGGUGCUGAUACUGCCCAGCGUGUGUGGUGGCCACCCUCCCCAGCAUGUGCCCCCCAAUGGAACCCUGUUCCCCGGGGGAGGGAUUUCUUGGUCACCCUCCAGCUCCAGUUUGGCUCAGUCUCUCCACACCUGGCUAAACUCAGCAUAGAGACAAGCUCAUCCAGCCUCGUGGGACCUGUACAGUUUCUGAGCUCUCACAAGUACCCUGUUUUCAGGUCUUUCUCCACAGCCAUGAGGGCUAGAAACUUCCUUCUUUCUGAAAUGAAAGCUGAAAUUUGCAUGCAUUCUCUUGACUCCAGCAGCUGGUAUGCUCAGAAAAACACCCAAUAUUGUGAGACCCACAAUAAGAUCACAAGAGCUGGCAAUACUGUGUUGACAGAGCAUUUGCUCUGCUGCCUAACUGGAAUGAUAUCCUGUUCAGAAAGCAUAUUGCUUCAGCAUUACUUAUCUGUGCUGGAAGUUCCGGGUCCCUUUGAGCAACAACUUGUGCCAUCUGUUUCCCUCCGUGUUGUG